ACUACGUGCCAGCAGCCGCGGUAAUACGUAGGUGGCAAGCGUUAUCCGGAUUUAUUGGGCGUAAAGAGAGUGCAGGCGGUUUUCUAAGUCUGAUGUGAAAGCCUUUCGGCUUAACCGGAGAAGUGCAUCGGAAACUGGAUAACUUGAGUGCAGAAGAGGGUAGUGGAACUCCAUGUGUAGCGGUGGAAUGCGUAGAUAUAUGGAAGAACACCAGUGGCGAAGGCGGCUACCUGGUCUGCAACUGACGCUGAGACUCGAAAGCAUGGGUAGCGAACAGGAUUAGAUACCCUGGUAGUCCAUGCCGUAAACGAUGAGUGCUAGGUGUUGGAGGGUUUCCGCCCUUCAGUGCCGGAGCUAACGCAUUAAGCACUCCGCCUGGGGAGUACGACCGCAAGGUUGAAACUCAAAGGAAUUGACGGGGGCCCGCACAAGCGGUGGAGCAUGUGGUUUAAUUCGAAGCUACGCGAAGAACCUUACCAGGUCUUGACAUCUUGCGCCAACCCUAGAGAUAGGGCGUUUCCUUCGGGAACGCAAUGACAGGUGGUGCAUGGUCGUCGUCAGCUCGUGUCGUGAGAUGUUGGGUUAAGUCCCGCAACGAGCGCAACCCUUGUUACUAGUUGCCAGCAUUAAGUUGGGCACUCUAGUGAGACUGCCGGUGACAAACCGGAGGAAGGUGGGGACGACGUCAGAUCAUCAUGCCCCUUAUGACCUGGGCUACACACGUGCUACAAUGGACGGUACAACGAGUCGCGAACUCGCGAGGGCAAGCAAAUCUCUUAAAACCGUUCUCAGUUCGGACUGCAGGCUGCAACUCGCCUGCACGAAGUCGGAAUCGCUAGUAAUCGCGGAUCAGCAUGCCGCGGUGAAUACGUUCCCGGGCCUUGUACACACCGCCCGUCACACCAUGAGAGUUUGUAACACCCAAAGUCGGUGGGGUAACCUUUU
This 945-nucleotide ribosomal RNA is filed under the name Limosilactobacillus fermentum. RNAcentral describes it as "bacterial SSU rRNA". It matches the Rfam family "Bacterial small subunit ribosomal RNA", at positions 500 to 1444 of the family's 1533-position model. Lineage: Bacteria; Bacillati; Bacillota; Bacilli; Lactobacillales; Lactobacillaceae. The record is from RNAcentral.